This is a non-coding RNA of Phrynosoma platyrhinos (Desert horned lizard), 64 nucleotides long. Lineage: Eukaryota; Metazoa; Chordata; Lepidosauria; Squamata; Phrynosomatidae. The record is from the annotation of a GenBank genome assembly.
GUGUAGUGUAGUGGUUUGAAUGUUGGAUUGAUACUCCAGAAAUUAGGGUUCAAAUCUCUGCUCA